AAUACUUUUAAUUUCAAAUUAAUAGUAUUGUUGCAACUUUAUACAUUUGGAUUUUAUUUUGUUUUAAUUAUUUAUAUUCUUUUCUUAUUUAUUUUUGUGCCUUAAUCUUUUUCUUAUCCAUUUUAUAAACUAUAUGAUUACAUAUUUUACCAAUAUAUUUUAUAUAUACAGAUUGAAUAUUUCAAUUUGAAAUUCAAAAUGUUCCUAAUUCCAAAACUUUUUAAACACCAACAUGAAAAUUCCCAUCUGUUCUUAUGUAACAGGUCACAGUCAAAACACAGGCAUACUGCAAAUAUUGUAUGUAAUUGCUUUCAGGUCAUGUGUAUAAGGUACCUAGAAAACAUAAGUGAGCUUCGUGUUUAAACUUUUCCCAACUCUAAGAUAUCUCAUUAUUUAUGUUUAACUAUUCAAAAUCUAAAGAUGUCUGAAAUCUGAAACACUUCUGGUGCUCAGCAUUUAUUAUAAAGAAUAAUCAAAUUAUAUUGUCAUUAUAUCUAAAAAGUUAUGUUUCCAAAUCUAUGAUAAAUGAUGUAUAGUUUACUGUUUAUUCAGGAACUGCAAGUGACGUAUGAGAGUUGAAUUUAUUUAAAUUAUUUCUGGAAUUCAGGCAACAAAUUCUGUGUUAUUCAAAUGUAUAACUUUGCAACAUAUAACCAUUUCACAGAUGGUUAUAUGUAGCAAUAUGUAACAAUAUGACAAAUCUUUGCUUGUGUUCUUUACACAUUUUUGUUUAAAAACUGAUCCAUAUGACUAUUUAAAAAUAUUAAACUGGACAUAUUUUGCUAAAACCAUCAAAUGUGAUUGUUUUUGAAGGUAUUAGUGGGCUUUUAUGAAAAUUACUGUCUAAAGGCAGAUGAACUGAUAUAAGAGGUUAGAAUAAAACAAAAGAAAGAAUAAAAAUGGUGAAAGAACCAUACUAUCUCCAAGUCUACUAUAGACAAGCUUUAUAUUGGAUUUAUUUUCUAUUUUACUAGCAUAGACUUUCUCAAAGAGGCUGACCACUGAGUAGAGCAUCACCAGUUCUCUUCUUCAAUGACUGGCUUCCCUUUGAAUUUGAUCAACAUAAUAGGAAGAAGUCUCAGAAGAUGGGAGCAUGAAAGAUGAGAGAGGGCUCUGGGUUUGCCCUCUGCCAUACUGAGUAGCGCAGUUCUAAAGUUAAUCAGCACCUCUAUCCUCAUCUUGAACUGAGCUGCUGAGUCAUCAUGGAUCCUGUGUUUGGCACAUGUGUCCUGGGUCUCCAUGAAUUUGGCAGAUUUUUGCUGGUAGGUUAAUUGGUUUUGCCCCAGACCUAACCUCCUACCACAAAUUCAUAUGCUUCUUUUUUUUUGCCUUGACAUUUGUACUGAUGCUAGUGUG
RNAcentral lists this long non-coding RNA (1356 nucleotides) under Heterocephalus glaber (naked mole-rat). RNAcentral describes it as "lncRNA (ENSHGLG00000044093.1)". Lineage: Eukaryota; Metazoa; Chordata; Mammalia; Rodentia; Bathyergidae. The record is from RNAcentral.